RNAcentral lists this ribosomal RNA (253 nucleotides) under uncultured bacterium. RNAcentral's name for it is "partial 16S ribosomal RNA". It matches the Rfam family "Bacterial small subunit ribosomal RNA", at positions 524 to 776 of the family's 1533-position model. The record is from RNAcentral.
UACGUAGGCAGCGAGCGUUGUUCGGAGUUACUGGGCGUAAAGCGUGCGUAGGCGGGUCUUUAAGUCCGGGGUGAAAUCCUGGAGCUCAACUCCAGAACUGCCUUUGAUACUGAGGAUCUUGAGUACGGGAGAGGUGAGUGGAACUGCGAGUGUAGAGGUGAAAUUCGUAGAUAUUCGCAAGAACACCAGUGGCGAAGGCGGCUCACUGGCCCGUUACUGACGCUGAGGCACGAAAGCGUGGGGAGCAAACAGG